This 45-nucleotide transfer RNA is filed under the name Blomia tropicalis. RNAcentral's name for it is "tRNA-Arg". The record is from RNAcentral. Lineage: Eukaryota; Metazoa; Arthropoda; Arachnida; Sarcoptiformes; Echimyopodidae.
CUAGCUUAUUGAUGCCAGUUUCGACCUGGACUUUUUAUUGCUAGU